UGAGUAACCUGCCCCUGACUCUGGGAUAACCCCGGGAAACCGGAGCUAAUACCGGAUACGAACCACUCAGGCAUCUGAGAGGUUGGGAAAGAUUUAUCGGUCAGGGAUGGACUCGCGGCCUAUCAGCUUGUUGGUGGGGUAACGGCCCACCAAGGCGACGACGGGUAGCCGGCCUGAGAGGGCGACCGGCCACACUGGGACUGAGACACGGCCCAGACUCCUACGGGAGGCAG
This 233-nucleotide ribosomal RNA is filed under the name uncultured bacterium. RNAcentral describes it as "partial 16S ribosomal RNA". It matches the Rfam family "Bacterial small subunit ribosomal RNA", at positions 118 to 351 of the family's 1533-position model. The record is from RNAcentral.